This 253-nucleotide ribosomal RNA is filed under the name uncultured bacterium. RNAcentral describes it as "partial 16S ribosomal RNA". It matches the Rfam family "Bacterial small subunit ribosomal RNA", at positions 524 to 776 of the family's 1533-position model. The record is from RNAcentral.
UACGUAGGGUGCAAGCGUUAAUCGGAAUUACUGGGCGUAAAGCGUGCGCAGGCGGUUGUGCAAGACAGGUGUGAAAUCCCCGGGCUUAACCUGGGAAUGGCAUUUGGGACUGCAAGGCUCGAGUGCGGCAGAGGAGACUGGAAUUCCUGGUGUAGCAGUGAAAUGCGUAGAUAUCAGGAGGAACACCGAUGGCGAAGGCAGGUCUCUGGGCUGACACUGACGCUCAUGCACGAAAGCGUGGGGAGCAAACAGG